AUCUUUUUUUAAGCCGGCACUCUUUCCUUUUGCAAGCAGUACACUGAACUUUUCUAAUUUAAAAACAUAUUUCCAGUUGUACGUUAUUUAACAAUUGAAUUGCGCAUUAAAAUAUAGUGAAAGGUAUCUUUAACUUUUAUAAGAUUUAAGUGAACAAAAUUAAUUAUGGAGACAAAGUGUGGUGUUGGAUGCCAGUGUAAUCAAUGCAAAUGUUGUGAUGUGUCCAAAACAAGAGAUUCAUGCUGUGACAAAACUGGUAGCAAAGACUGCUGUUGCAUAAAUAGCUCUUGUUGUAAAGAAUCUGGUUGUAAUAUCGCUAAACAAGGUACAGGCGACUGCAACUGCGCCGAUUGCAAAUGCUGUUCAACUGCGACCUGCCAAACGAAAAGCCCAAGUUGCAAGUGUGAUGUAUGUACAUGUUGUCAAAAGUCUGGUGGUACUGACUGUCAUUGUGGGAAAUGCAAGUGUUGCCCAUCAGCAAAAUCUUAAAAUUCAAGGUUUAUUUAUGCCUAAGAAAAUUUGUUCUAAAUUUCAAACAUUGCUAUAAAAAUCGUUUUUUGCAAAAAUUACUGAAUGAGUAGCAGAAUAUUUUCCAAUAUGUGUAGUUGAGGAAUAAAAAAUAAAAGAAUUAAUAAAUAUAUGAAUAUUUAAUCACCUUAUUGCAUAGAUCAAAUAUAAUAUAAGGUUAAUCCACAAAGAAAAUUUAAUAUCAAGUAAACUGUUUAACUAUUUUAUAGAAGCAGAAAUAAAAUUUUUAUUAUUAUAAAAUUCAUAAAAGUAAUUAUAAUUUUACAGAUACAUUAAUUGCAUUCUAGAACUCUUUCUCAUGAUUUAAACAAAUUAUUGUGCAUGUACUCAAAUUCCUAAUGUCAAAAUCUGAAUAAUUUAUAUCAUGCACAAUCUCACACAUUGAUGAAUUGAAUGUAACAUUCAAUUCAAUGCUAUUAGAAACGUAAGUUCAUUGAAAAACGUAAUUUUGUAUCAUAGCUAUCUUCUUUAAUACAUUUUGUGGAUGUAUAGGUAGGAGAAAAGCAAAGAAAAUGCAAUUUGUUUUCAGCUGCUUUCACCUUCAUUACAAGUCAUACUAAGCCAUGAAAGUAAGAAAGAACCAUUCUUACCUCUAAAAAGCACUAGGCACUUUUCAGGAAUUAUGUAAGACAUUGGUCUAAUAGUUUUUCAUUUCUUUCAUUCAUUUUUCCCUCUGAAAAAGGUUUCCUUAUGUACUGUUUGUGUUCCUUACAAAUGAUAUUCCACCAUAUUUUUGAUUAAUACUGUAUUAGAUUUUUUAAUAUAUGAACAUUUAUCAAUAAAAAAAUCAAUGUAA
Stegodyphus dumicola is the source of this 1324-nucleotide unclassified non-coding RNA. Lineage: Eukaryota; Metazoa; Arthropoda; Arachnida; Araneae; Eresidae. The record is from RefSeq and is a predicted model, not a curated record.